UCCGUAGGCGGUUUUGUAAGUCAGUGGUGAAAGCCCAUCGCUCAACGGUGGAACGGCCAUUGAUACUGCAAGACUUGAAUCAUUAGGAAGUAACUAGAAUAUGUAGUGUAGCGGUGAAAUGCUUAGAGAUUACAUGGAAUACCAAUUGCGAAGGCAGGUUACUACUAAUGGAUUGACGCUGAUGGACGAAAGCGUGGGAGCGAACA
RNAcentral lists this ribosomal RNA (206 nucleotides) under uncultured bacterium. Its description in RNAcentral is "partial 16S ribosomal RNA". It matches the Rfam family "Bacterial small subunit ribosomal RNA", at positions 568 to 774 of the family's 1533-position model. The record is from RNAcentral.